This 497-nucleotide ribosomal RNA is filed under the name uncultured bacterium. RNAcentral describes it as "partial 16S ribosomal RNA". It matches the Rfam family "Bacterial small subunit ribosomal RNA", at positions 28 to 507 of the family's 1533-position model. The record is from RNAcentral.
GAUGAACGCUGGCGGCGUGCCUAAUACAUGCAAGUCGAGCGAACAGACGAGGAGCUUGCUCCUCUGACGUUAGCGGCGGACGGGUGAGUAACACGUGGAUAACCUACCUAUAAGACUGGGAUAACUUCGGGAAACCGGAGCUAAUACCGGAUAAUAUAUUGAACCGCAUGGUUCAAUAGUGAAAGACGGUUUUGCUGUCACUUAUAGAUGGAUCCGCGCCGCAUUAGCUAGUUGGUAAGGUAACGGCUUACCAAGGCGACGAUGCGUAGCCGACCUGAGAGGGUGAUCGGCCACACUGGAACUGAGACACGGUCCAGACUCCUACGGGAGGCAGCAGUAGGGAAUCUUCCGCAAUGGGCGAAAGCCUGACGGAGCAACGCCGCGUGAGUGAUGAAGGUCUUCGGAUCGUAAAACACUGUUAUUAGGGAAGAACAAAUGUGUAAGUAACUAUGCACGUCUUGACGGUACCUAAUCAGAAAGCCACGGCUAACUACGUG